RNAcentral lists this ribosomal RNA (1375 nucleotides) under uncultured bacterium. RNAcentral's name for it is "bacterial SSU rRNA". It matches the Rfam family "Bacterial small subunit ribosomal RNA", at positions 28 to 1381 of the family's 1533-position model. The record is from RNAcentral.
GAUGAACGCUGGCGGCGUGCCUAAUACAUGCAAGUCGAGCGAACGGACGAGAAGCUUGCUUCUCUGAUGUUAGCGGCGGACGGGUGAGUAACACGUGGAUAACCUACCUAUAAGACUGGGAUAACUUCGGGAAACCGGAGCUAAUACCGGAUAAUAUUUUGAACCGCAUGGUUCAAAGGUGAAAGACGGUCUUGCUGUCACUUAUAGAUGGAUCCGCGCUGCAUUAGCUAGUUGGUAAGGUAACGGCUUACCAAGGCAACGAUGCAUAGCCGACCUGAGAGGGUGAUCGGCCACACUGGAACUGAGACACGGUCCAGACUCCUACGGGAGGCAGCAGUAGGGAAUCUUCCGCAAUGGGCGAAAGCCUGACGGAGCAACGCCGCGUGAGUGAUGAAGGUCUUCGGAUCGUAAAACUCUGUUAUUAGGGAAGAACAUAUGUGUAAGUAACUGUGCACAUCUUGACGGUACCUAAUCAGAAAGCCACGGCUAACUACGUGCCAGCAGCCGCGGUAAUACGUAGGUGGCAAGCGUUAUCCGGAAUUAUUGGGCGUAAAGCGCGCGUAGGCNGUUUUUUUAGUCUGAUGUGAAAGCCCACGGCUCAACCGUGGAGGGUCAUUGGAAACUGUUAAACUUGAGUGCAGGAGAGAAAAGUGGAAUUCCUAGUGUAGCGGUGAAAUGCGUAGAGAUUAGGAGGAACACCAGUGGCGAAGGCGGCUUUUUGGCCUGUAACUGACACUGAGGCGCGAAAGCGUGGGGAGCAAACAGGAUUAGAUACCCUGGUAGUCCACGCCGUAAACGAUGAGUGCUAAGUGUUGGUCUCAUAAGAGAUCAGUGCUGCAGCUAACGCAUUAAGCACUCCGCCUGGGGAGUACGACCGCAAGGUUGAAACUCAAAGGAAUUGACGGGGACCCGCACAAGCGGUGGAGCAUGUGGUUUAAUUCGAAGCAACGCGAAGAACCUUACCAAGUCUUGACAUACUGUGAGGACACAAGAGAUUGUGUUGUUCUGACCUUUGGUUAGACACAGAUACAGGUGGUGCAUGGUUGUCGUCAGCUCGUGUCGUGAGAUGUUGGGUUAAGUCCCGCAACGAGCGCAACCCUUAUAUCUAGUUGCCAGCAGUAAGAUGGGGACUCUAGAUAGACUGCCAGUGAUAAACUGGAGGAAGGUGGGGAUGACGUCAAAUCAUCAUGCCCCUUAUGACUUGGGCUACACACGUGCUACAAUGGAUAGGAACAAAGAGAAGCGAGCUCGCGAGAGUAAGCAAACCUCACAAAACUAUUCUCAGUUCGGAUUGUAGUCUGCAACUCGACUACAUGAAGCUGGAAUCGCUAGUAAUCGCGAAUCAGAAUGUCGCGGUGAAUACGUUCCCGGGUCU